UACGGAGGGUGCAAGCGUUAUCCGGAUUCACUGGGUUUAAAGGGUGCGUAGGUGGGUUGGUAAGUCAGUGGUGAAAUCCCCGAGCUUAACUUGGAAACUGCCAUUGAUACUAUCAGUCUUGAAUACCGUGGAGGUUAGCGGAAUAUGUCAUGUAGCGGUGAAAUGCUUAGAUAUGACAUAGAACACCAAUUGCGAAGGCAGCUGGCUACACGAAUAUUGACACUGAGGCACGAAAGCGUGGGGAUCAAACAGG
RNAcentral lists this ribosomal RNA (253 nucleotides) under uncultured bacterium. RNAcentral describes it as "partial 16S ribosomal RNA". It matches the Rfam family "Bacterial small subunit ribosomal RNA", at positions 524 to 776 of the family's 1533-position model. The record is from RNAcentral.